Molecule: ribosomal RNA, 736 nt
Filed under: Geukensia demissa (ribbed mussel)
Lineage: Eukaryota; Metazoa; Mollusca; Bivalvia; Mytilida; Mytilidae
Description: eukaryotic LSU rRNA
Rfam family: Eukaryotic large subunit ribosomal RNA
Source: RNAcentral
AACCGCUUAGAGGUAAACGGGUGGAUCCGCAAAGUCGGCCCGGGGAAUUCAACUUGGCGUUUUGGGCGGCGGACGUUGGGUCAGGGAUCCGUAAAGACCCGCCUGGCGUUCGGCCGUCGUCGUCGAGUGCACUUUCCUCGGGUAGAGCGCCACGACCGGUUUCGGGGCGGUCAUAAGCCGAUCGGGAAGGUGACUCUCUCCUUCGGGAGGGAGUGUUAUAGCCCGAUCGUGUCGACUCGUUCCGAGACCGAGGAUUUGCCGCGUCUGACUGCCCUCGGUUCCCGGGGUGCGUUCGACUGGGGAAGCACUGCUUGCAGUUCUCUCCGACUGCGUGCCUCGAUCGGCCGGGAAGCAUAGGACGCUUCGGGUCAGUGGCGAAUCGGUCGGUCCUCCACCCGACCCGUCUUGAAACACGGACCAAGGAGUCUAACAUGUGCGCAAGUCAUGGGGUUCUGUACGAAACCUAAAGGCACAAUGAAAGUGAAGGCCAACCUCCGGUGGGCCUAGGUAGGAUCCCCGCAAGGGGCGCACUACCGGCCCGUCUCGACCACAUCGUUGGUGGGGCGGAGCAAGAGCGUACACGUUGGGACCCGAAAGAUGGUGAACUAUGCCUGAGUAGGACGAAGCCAGAGGAAACUCUGGUGGAGGUCCGUAGCGAUUCUGACGUGCAAAUCGAUCGUCAAACUUGGGUAUAGGGGCGAAAGACUAAUCGAACCAUCUAGUAGCUGGUUCCCUC